CGCGUGCACUGGUUCGGCCGGGCCUUUCCCUCUGGGGAGCCGCAUGCCCUUCACUGGGUGUGUCGGGGAACCAGGACUUUUACUUUGAACAAAUUAGAUCGCUUAAAGAAGGCCUAUGCUCGAAUACAUUAGCAUGGAAUAAUAGAAUAGGACGCGUGGUUCUAUUUUGUUGGUUUCUAGGACCGCCGUAAUGAUUAAUAGGGACAGUCGGGGGCAUCAGUAUUCAAUUGUCAGAGGUGAAAUUCUUGGAUUUAUUGAAGACUAACUACUGCGAAAGCAUUUGCCAAGGAUGUUUUCAUUAAUCAGGAACGAAAGUUAGGGGAUCGAAGACGAUCAGAUACCGUCGUAGUCUUAACCAUAAACUAUGCCGACUAGGGAUCGGACGAUGUUAUAUUUUGACUCGUUCGGCACCUUACACGAAAGUAAAGUUUCUGGGUUCUGGGGGGAGUAUGGUCGCAAGGCUGGAACUUAAAGAAAUUGACGGAAGGGCACCACCAGGGGUGGAGCCUGCGGCUUAAUUUGGCUCAACACGGGGAAACUCACCAGGUCCAGACACAAGUAGGAUUGACAGAUUGAGAGCUCUUUCUUGAUUUUGUGGGUGGUGGUGCAUGGGCCGUUCUUAGUUGGUGGAGUGAUUUGUCUGCUUAAUUGCGAUAACGAACGAGACCUUAACCUGCUAAAUAGCCCGCAUUGCUUUGGCAGUGCGCCGGCUUCUUAGAGGGACUAUCGG
RNAcentral lists this ribosomal RNA (730 nucleotides) under uncultured eukaryote. Its description in RNAcentral is "SSU rRNA". It matches the Rfam family "Eukaryotic small subunit ribosomal RNA", at positions 671 to 1426 of the family's 1831-position model. The record is from RNAcentral.